AUAUUAAAUUAACAUGAGUUUAUGUUUAGAUUUCUAUGAUUUUUAUCAAUAUCCCAUAUAACAGGCAUAUGGUAUUUGUGGGGUUUCAAAUCUCUCUCUCUCUCUCUCUCUCUCUCUCUCUCUCUCUCUCUCUCUCUCUCUCUCUCUCUCUCUCUCUCUUUCUCUCUCCGUCUGUCUGUGUUCUUGUUUGGAAGAACUAUUUGGAAGAAAUUCAAGAUUUCAAGGACGCACGGAUUUGAAUUUAACUGGAGAGGCUGAGAGCUGAGGGGAAGAGUGACAUAAAGAGGAGAGAAGUUCAUUAUCCAGCUGAAAAGGAAACCAAUGGCUUUCACAGUCUCCAUGGGAACCAGCCUUUCUUUUGCUGUCAAACCUAUGAUAAGAAACCCUCUCCUUUCUCCCACUCCAAGGCAGCCCUUUUCAAACCGGGAAGCUCCAGGUCAGUUUCCCUUUCCAAGUUUUACGGCCUGCCAUGUUGUCCAUUCUGCUCAGCUAUUUAAAAAAUGUUGAAUAUCAACAAUGGCUUUCACUGGUGUAUUGUCAACUUUUGUAUGAAGCAAUCUUGGCUGAAUGAGAUGGGUCCCAGAGCAGGGAGGGCUUGGCUGCGGCAUGCACCGCAACACCACUGGCGCCUGCCUGGCUCUCUCUCUCUCUCUCUCUCUCUCUCUCUCUGCUGCAGGCAGGAUCAGGGAGGCAGGAGCAGCCGUCCCUCUAGUCCCUGUCUCAGCCCAGCCGCUGGGGUCUGGAUGGGGCUGGGAAAGCCACCCCCUCGUCAGUCCUCUCUGCAAACUCAUCCUCAUCUCAGGUUCCCCUCCCCCUGCCUCUGGCCCUGUCGUCUGGGAGCCCCUGAAGGUGUGACACCUCACACAGGAAUCGGAGAGCAGGAGCCCGGGGGCCAGUCAGAGCUGGGUAGCCGUGCCAACCCCAUUGGAGAUGUAUGUUUGAAGAUAAUUGUAGGAAAUCCUCCACCCAACCCAGAGAAACCCUCUCCUGGUCAGCAGCAACCCUGGAGUACCCUACUACCUGACAGUGUUUUUCAGAAGUGUGGUGAGAGAGAGGAGCGUCAGAAACAUGAAACCUAAGAUAGCAGAGUGGAAGAAGAGAACAAGUCGUUAGCACUUUGAAACCAGACACCGGGAGGUAUCAGAUCCAUUGGGUGGCUAAGGAUCAUGGGUAUAGUGUGUGUGUGUGUGUCAGCGUGUGUGCCUUCAUGCAUGUCGUGUGUGUGUGAAUGAGUGUGUGUGUGAAUGCGUGUGUGUGUGUGUGUGUGUGUGUAUGGGGAGGUGGAUGCUGACAGGGUCUCUCUCUCUCUUUCUCUCUCUCUCUGGUUGACUGGGUCACUCGGGGGCCCCGGACCCCACACAAUGCCCUGGCAGCAGUGUGGGCUUUACUGGGCCUCUACAGAGCAGCGCCGAGCUGCUAGCUUUACGAGAGACAGACGGAUGGAUCCCUUCACCUUGCACCAUAAAGCCACCAGUCACCAGAUAAAAGAGGGCAGAUGCGAGGGGAAGCAUUGAGAGCUCACCUGCACCCAGCAGGGAACAGCCUCUAUCCAGCCAACCCAAGAGGGCCUCUACAUUCAGCCUCCUCUCACUAACACCACUAAUAGGGAACAGGGGCACUGUCAAAUAAGAGGAGAAUCCUUCCUUGUUUUGGAUGGCCUGGGAUCCUUAUUAGCUGUUAGUGCUAGAACACAGCUAUACUGGUGAAGAGUUCAGUGCAGUUAACACGGAUGUUGACAGUGCAGGGCAGAGCAGGCUGCAACAGGUUGCUGCUAAAAGCUGUAAUUACAGUAUGAUCUGGAGACUCUAGUUACUGGGAGAUUGAGAGUGGUGGGAUCCUUGUGAAAAGUGCCAAUUCUGAAUGUAUUUUUAAGAGGCACUUGUUGGAGGGAGAACAUGGUUAGGUAACAGGUUGAUCAGGAGUCUGACAGGGAAUGGGACAUACAGACAGACUAACUGACAGAGGGUCAGGAUUGGAGACAGGAGGCAGGCAAGGUGGCAGAUGGGCUAAGCGACAGACAGAGACAGGUAGGCAUGGACUCAUGGAGCCAGGCAGUCAGGGAGGCAAGCUGUCAGCGAGGGCAGACCCACCCUGGGUAGCUUCUGCCUUCCCUGUUGGAGUGACAGAUGUGUGGUGAAUCUUUAGCUCUCCUCACAGCUCCUCACUCCCCAGUGUCACCGCAUCUGUCCCCUCCUCAGUCCCCCUUGGCUCAGCCCCCUCCUGUGUAAAUGCAGGACAACAAAAAUGAGUUCAGUGGACUUAUUGAUUAGUCCAGCCUGCACUGGCUAGCUUCAUUUAUUGACCUCUGGGACUCAUUAUUGACAAGGCUUUGUCUUUGUGAUUUGUUCAAAAUUUCACUGGGCACAUGGGAACCUUGUGUCUCACACAGUAGGAUAAUUUAAACAGAACAUCUGUAGCCUAGCGGAUCAAUGCAAAAAUGUGCAUGUUGAUCUACAGUGCAGAACUAUGAGCAUAUUUGAAUAUGUUGACAUGGAUCAAGCAGAUAAACAAACAUUUGGACAAUGAUAAGUGGGUCAUGUUUGUGGGACAACAACAACAGAAAAGAAGAGGUCAGCGUAUGCUCUCAACCGAACACAACGUCCUGUCUCAUUGUCUGCCUUAAACCCCACUGUAAAAAACAUAUACUGCCUCGGCCAUAGUAGAUAGUAAGUAGCAUUUUAUCCUCAUCAGUCUAAUUUCUCAGACGCCUCAAUGUUAAAGGGUCUGGACUCGCCGUCCCCCAGCCCCUGUCCCUCUCUCCCGCUCAGCCUGGCCCUGGCGAGAGAUGGUUUAUUUAAAUUGAAAAUUAGCAAAACAAAACAAGGGCAAGAGGAUCCCUGAAUGGGGCCCCUUUCUCUGGGAGCUCCUGUGCCGUUGAAUAAUGCAUAUGGGAGAAAGUAAACAGCAGCCUCGGGCUCCGUCCAAGGAACAAUGGGCCGCACACAGUCCAACCACGGCGCCUGAUUUUAUUACGGGCCCUGUCAGUCCCCUCCUCCCUCCAUCCAUCCCUCCCUCCAGUACCUCCUCUAGCCUGGGAAUCGUGGAACGCAGGCCAGGCAGCAGCUGCUGACCGCUCCGCACUGACCCAACACACUCCGCGACCUGCAGGAUAACUCCACACACACACUCCCUCCCAGCCAGCACACACCACCACUGCAUACCUCGACUGUCACAGCCUGCAUGCCUGCCUACCACCACUACAGUGCAUACAUAUACUCAGUCACACCAGGCAGCAACUGGUUGGCCACAUCCAGAUGGUGUCUUGUGAGGAAAUGUUUGAAUUAGAUGAAUGUUUGAAACAUAUGGAAUUUAUGAAUGACUGACUCAUUUAGCCUGAGGAAAAUAUCAGACUUCACCAACUCCAACCCCUAUUUCUGAGAUCUUGGCUUGGACAGUGCCGGGUCACUUUGGCCACUUGUGAACUUUUCUCUCCACUAGAACAUUCUGUCUGUGUGUGUUCUCUCUCUCUCCGAUCAGGCUGGCAUUGAGAUUCCGGUCUUGCUUCUGGCUUCAGCCUGGGCCGGUUGCCAUGCCGACAGGCAAAUUGGCUAGCAGGAUGAGUAGUGAUGUGAUGUGGCUGUGGCUUUAAAGUCCCAACAAAGACUGUAUUACAACCCAAUCUUUGCAUAACACACUAUUGUUGUCAUGUGCUACUGAUAUUAAUCCUCUUCCUGCUGCAGGAGACGUGUGUGUCUCUCUGUGGAAGGGUUUUGUGUGUAUGUACGUGAACGUGUGUGUAUGGCUGGACACCAGAAGUCACACUAAAGAUUAUCUACAGUCACAACGACUGAAGAUACAUACUGAAUAAAAUAAAGGAUUUUGCAAUGAUUUUGAUAGUGAAGUUAAUGUUUUAGUCAGUUUGUUGACAUUGCUCGCUCUCUCUCUCUCUCUCUCCUCAACAAUGUUCAUCAACAAUGUUCAUGAAACCUCCAUACUCCCCACCUCACCUAAGCAAACAUCCCUGGGCCCUAGGCCUGAGACGAGUCUAUAGCAGCCUGGCCUUAUAGACUCGUCCCUGAGUGUGAAGGGACAUAAAGAGAGGUGGAGGGGGGUCCCAGUAGCAGGAGCGCAUGACACCGGGCGGCUGCAGGAUGU
RNAcentral lists this long non-coding RNA (4095 nucleotides) under Oncorhynchus kisutch (coho salmon). Its description in RNAcentral is "lncRNA (ENSOKIG00005014772.1)". Lineage: Eukaryota; Metazoa; Chordata; Actinopteri; Salmoniformes; Salmonidae. The record is from RNAcentral.